AUUGAACGCUGGCGGCAUGCCUUACACAUGCAAGUCGAACGGUAACAGGCCGCAAGGUGCUGACGAGUGGCGAACGGGUGAGUAAUGUAUCGGAACGUGCCCAGUCGUGGGGGAUAACUGCUCGAAAGAGCAGCUAAUACCGCAUACGACCUGAGGGUGAAAGCGGGGGAUCGCAAGACCUCGCGCGAUUGGAGCGGCCGAUACCAGAUUAGGUAGUUGGUGGGGUAAAGGCCCACCAAGCCAACGAUCUGUAGCUGGUCUGAGAGGACGACCAGCCACACUGGGACUGAGACACGGCCCAGACUCCUACGGGAGGCAGCAGUGGGGAAUUUUGGACAAUGGACGCAAGUCUGAUCCAGCCAUGCCGCGUGCGGGAA
This 377-nucleotide ribosomal RNA is filed under the name uncultured bacterium. RNAcentral describes it as "bacterial SSU rRNA". It matches the Rfam family "Bacterial small subunit ribosomal RNA", at positions 29 to 409 of the family's 1533-position model. The record is from RNAcentral.